CUUGUAUUCUUUGUAAUUUCUGU
Molecule: small nuclear RNA, 23 nt
Filed under: Arabidopsis thaliana (thale cress)
Lineage: Eukaryota; Viridiplantae; Streptophyta; Magnoliopsida; Brassicales; Brassicaceae
Description: snRNA_00151
Source: RNAcentral